GUGCCAGCCGCCGCGGUAAUACGGAGGGUGCAAGCGUUAAUCGGAAUUACUGGGCGUAAAGGGCGCGUAGGCGGCGUGUCACGCCGGGUGUGAAAGCCCCGGGCUCAACCUGGGAAUGGCAUCCGGAACGGGCAGGCUAGAGUGCAGGAGAGGAAGGUAGAAUUCCCGGUGCAGCGGUGAAAUGCGUAGAGAUCGGGAGGAAUACCAGUGGCGAAGGCGGCCUUCUGGACUGACACUGACGCUGGGGUGCGAAAGCGUGGGUAGCAAACAGGAUU
Molecule: ribosomal RNA, 275 nt
Filed under: uncultured prokaryote
Description: partial 16S ribosomal RNA
Rfam family: Bacterial small subunit ribosomal RNA
Source: RNAcentral